GCGCAUGCGCGCGCAUGCGCACGAGUCAACAGCGUCAACUUGACUAAAACAACACGGAAUCGUCCUACCGAUCAGCUGUUUAAGAAGAAAACUGUGAAAACGUUUGCAGAAAACUUCAUCACUGAGGAAUCCACAGAGGUCGUCACCACAGCGGAGGCUUUGCAUGAAUACAGGAAGCAGAUUGCCUGUAGCUACUACAAAAUCCGGGUCUGUGUAAAAAUGCUUGGAUAAUCUGUUGCCACAAUGUGGUGCAGUGUGGGACUUGUCAUCGGUGGGCCCAUUUGGAAUGGGCCAAGUACACCGACGAAGAAAAUUACACCUGUCCAAAAUGCUUGGCAUUGAAUAAAUGCAGAAUAAAAAAG
Molecule: long non-coding RNA, 362 nt
Organism: Cololabis saira (Pacific saury)
Lineage: Eukaryota; Metazoa; Chordata; Actinopteri; Beloniformes; Belonidae
Exons: 3
Source: RefSeq, a predicted model, not a curated record